CCUACGGGAGGCAGCAGUGAGGAAUAUUGGUCAAUGGACGAGAGUCUGAACCAGCCAAGUAGCGUGAAGGAUGACUGCCCUAUGGGUUGUAAACUUCUUUUAUAUGGGAAUAAAAUGUUCCACGUGUGGGAUUUUGUAUGUACCAUAUGAAUAAGGAUCGGUUAACUCCGUGCCAGCAGCCGCGGUAAUACGGAGGAUCCGAGCGUUAUCCGGAUUUAUUGGGUUUAAAGGGAGCGUAGGUGGAUUGUUAAGUCAGUUGUGAAAGUUUGCGGCUCAACCGUAAAAUUGCAGUUGAAACUGGCAGUCUUGAGUACAGUAGAGGUGGGCGGAAUUCAUGGUGUAGCGGUGAAAUGCUUAGAUAUCACGAAGAACUCCGAUUGCGAAGGCAGUUCACUGGACUGCAACUGACACUGAGGCUCGAAAGUGUGGGUAUCAAACAGGAUUAGAUACCCUUGUAGUC
Molecule: ribosomal RNA, 460 nt
Filed under: uncultured bacterium
Lineage: Bacteria
Description: partial 16S ribosomal RNA
Rfam family: Bacterial small subunit ribosomal RNA
Source: RNAcentral